UAAUCCUAUUCUUUUAGCAAACACAUUGCAAGCAUUACUCAUUUGUUUGGAUUAACCAUUUAUUUGAACCUUUAACAUUUCAUGAGCUGUUGAAUUGUUAUGAACAUUGUAAAAUUUAAAGCGUGGGUGGUUGAUUUGGCUUUUAAGUGGAACUAAUGAUAUAAGGAGAAAGGUGCACCGUUUUAAAUAAGUAAGAACCACUUAAAUUGGAAAAAAGAGAAAAGAAAGAAAAGAAUAGUUGCAUUGUUGUGAAGAAAAAAAGAAUAUAUAUAUUGAUGUGAAUGUGGAGCUUGGUUUGACAUAAGUAGGGUCUUUAAUGUUAAAAUGUAUGUAUUAAAGUGCUAAGGGAGGUGUAGUCACUCUUAUAUCUAAAUGUAUCAUACUCUUCCCUCAGCGUACAUUAUAACUAUAUAAAGUCCUACUUGAUCCUAGACUGAAUGAGCUCGAUUAGCAGAGUAGGCACAAGAAUAUUGUUUCUGAGGGUGAGUGAAUUCUGUCUAUGUUGAAGUUACUCAUUGUGCAUGAAUUUUAUUUGAUUGUGGAAUGAGUCUCUUUUGUCGUGACCAUGCACUUCAUUCAUGAAGGAAACGUAAGUCUUGACCUAUGUGUUAGAGUAAGUGAGUAAGUUAGGAAUAUUGUGUGGCCCGUGAGAGUCAACUCUUGAGGUAUAGAUGUUACACUUCUAUGCUCAAUCUAUGUGAAAUAUUCAUGGUGUGACGACUUAGGGAAGUCACUUAGUGAAGUUAGACAUCAGUAGAGUGUGGGUUGAUUGCUCGGAGACGAGCAAUGGUUUAACUGUGGGGUGUUGAUAGUAGUAUCGUGCCCCCCUUUUUUCCUUCCUCGUGGAGAGAGGUCCGGGUUUCGACAUUCCAUGGAGGUAAUGACUCAUUUUCUUUUGGAAAUUGGGUAUUUGAAGAGUCGUCACCUAACGAAUUAUGGUACGUUAGGGCACCUAGAGUGAUUAACUCUUGAAUUGGUUUGCAUUACCGGAGAUUGGGGUAAGGGCUUGAAGUAACCUCGAGGGAAGGUGUUAGGCACCUCUCCUGGUCCAGAACUGUGGGAGUUGGCCGAACUUAUAUUCACAAUUAGUCCAUAAACAGAUGAAUCAAAUAGGUUGCAAGUAAAGCACGUUAUAUAACUCAAGUAAUAAGAUAAUGAUUUGGACAAGUCGUAAAACAAAGUUUUAAACAAAAAGGGAAUUUUGGUAAAUGAGGGGUACUAGGUUGGUUAACCUAUAGGAUCAACCCACAUAAUGUCCAAUAAACAUUCCUUGAUGAGGGCAUACACGAGACAUUAGCGCAUAGUCAUCGUAUUCCAUAUCUACCCUUCCUAUCCCCUUAUUGGUCAUGCAAAGUGGGUGUUUGGUCAGCAAACUCUAUUGCGUGCUACUACUUGUCUCGUCUUAAUGGUCCUGGAGGGAGUUAGGACCUCUACAUAUGGGUGGUUCAAGACGGACCCCUAAGGUUUUAAAAGGUAAAAAUUCUAAGGCAACAAUCAAAAUACUUAGGACUUUCAGCACAUAAAAUGGAGUACCUAGAGGCUCAAAGUUUCCUCCUCAAACAAGCACAUAAACAGCACAACUCAGGCACAAUUAAGGGCUUUAUUAUACAGUGUCCUAAGGCAAGAUAACUAAGUGAAUAUACAUAAACAAACAACUUAUUUUUUUGAAACUCAGGAACAGUGACCCAAGAAGUUGCCUAUUGAUUUUUAAUGCCUGGUAGGAUCAGAAACAUUGAGCAAUAUAAAACAGUUUUUAGAAAUAUAGUUUUGAAAAUGCCAUAAAGGCUUGCCUAUACGCAGAGUACUGGUGACUAUAUUUAAAGAACUUGUUUCAGGAAAUAUAUACUACUUAAUUAAACCAAUCAGAAGUAAACUAAACGUGGCCUAAGUUGAAUUACUAGACUAGUUUAUAUUGACAGGCAGAAUUUCAAAUAUGGUUCCCUAUUGGAAUGAUUUCUAACUUCGUUAAUCUGAUUUUUAAGACGUCCAGACAUAAACCCUUGCCAUAACAUAAUUUGGAUUAAGUCCUAUAGGCAUGGCAUCUACUAAUUAGUAGGAUUUUGAGACAUUGAAGGCAUGAUUAGUUGGAACUUAUAGGCAUGGUUUCUAGCAUGGUGAGGUGACAAAAUGUAAAGCCCUAGGAGUAUGAUUUCUACUUGAUAAAGCAAUCAGAUAGUCCUAUGAACAUGAUUUCUACCGGUAUUACCCAUAGACAUGUAUUUACCCAUCCCUUUUCACUAAAUACCCCAAUAUUUGUUUACAAGUUAUUACAGACCAAUGAGAGAAUUACACAAAAAAAUAAAAAUAAAACGUUAUUCUAUAGGAAGCCUCCAAUUAGGCCCAGAUUUCCCAAAGCCUCCAAUGGCCUCAAAUGCCUCAAGUCCAUAGACAAUGCAGAGUCUAGGUGCAUCAAAGUUCCCUAAAGAUCUCAAGGAUCACGGUCAGUGCUCACACCUAGACUUAGUAACUAAAAGUUGAACAAGUACAUUGUGGAAAGGCCAGCCUAAGUAUGCUAGAGUUAAGAGGGUUCUCAAGAGGAUCUCAAGGUAGUACAUAUAUUAAAGGGGGCAGAACUUACCGACUAAGAGUAGAGAGAAAGUGAUUUUAGUGAAAAACUGUAUGAAAGAAGGCCUGAAAGUAAUUUAGUAAAACUCAUAGACUGUUUAAAAAGAGAAUAAAGAAAUGAACAGAAGUCCAAAUAUCUAAGGACAAGUUCAUACCCAACUAUGAGCCACAACACUAAGGUACGUUCAAUAGUCACAAGGAGGGGUCAAGGGGUUUUGGGAAUACACAGGACACAUAAUUAAGCAAAGAUCCAAGAAUUAGUAUACGCAUGCUCAGAGGCAGCUGACCAGUCAUAGUCAAAAAACCAGACAAAAGAACAAGCUCACAUAUAGGGAUGAUAGGGAUUUGGGAAUACGUGAAACACAUAGAGAUAAUUGGUUCAGACAUAUUCAUACACAGUACAGAGGGGUAACAUGUUGAUCUAAAGUUAAGGGAGUAUAUAAGAAGGUAAACAUCAACUACAAGUUCCACAACAAAACCACAAAUAGAAGCAAACUAGAAACAUGAUGAAUUGAAGCAAUAAGAAGAUCAUAUUGUUGUUGGAACUUUGAAUUGAAAUUUAAGCAUACCAGUAAAGAUGACAGUAAGUAGACUUGAAAGAACAGUAGGAUACAAUGGUUAGCAUUGAUUUGCAGCCGGCUAAUUUUGAGCAAUAGCAAGUAGCACACAAGAGAGAAAAAAGUUUUGUUAAGUGGGAGAGAUAGAGUUUUGAACCAAGAGUAUUUGUGUGUUGUGCUAAUGAAAGACUAGGGUAUUUAUAGUUUGAAAAUAAGUAGUAAAUAAGGUAAAAAUCACAGUCCAUUAGUAAUUAAGGAACUUGAAAUCAAUCAGUCAUGAAAUCAAGGUUAAGUCCCCUUCAAUUAAGGAGAUAACUUCGAACAGUAAUAGACAUAUGCCAAAUAAGGAAGGAAAUCGUGUAAGGCUGAACAUGCCAAUUAAGAAAAUAGUUUCUGCAUAGUACAAGCACACAAUAUAUAAUAGAAGCCAGGUUCAGCACACUUAAAUCAAGAAAAGAGUUGAGCAAUCAAUUAAUAGCAUAAUUGAUCAUAGAAUAAGGUCAGAAAAUAUUCUACAAGGUAAAAAUCAGUAGAAUAAUCAUGCGGAAUCAGAGAAAGAUCAAUAAUAAGGAUUCAAGUAUGUAAGAAUAGGAGAUAACACUGAUUUAUCACCACUCUAUAAGAACAAGCACAUGGUAAGCAAAAAUCAGAAUCCUAAGAGGUCGAGUAGGACAAGAAUCACAUAUAAAAUUAAGGAUUCAUGCAGAGCAUAGUCUGAAUUAAUAGGCUAAGCAUGAUACAAGUAUGAGAAGUGAAAAUCAGAAACAUGUGUGAACAAGCAUAAGGAAAAAUCCAUGUAGGCUAAGCAUGAUACAUGUAGGAGAAGUGAAAAAUCAGAAACAUUGGUUAACAAAAAUAAGGUAAAAUCACACAAUAGGAAAGAAUAACCAUAAUUAUCAGCCCUAACAAGAAAACAUUGGACAAAAGUCACAGAACCAUAGAACAUACAGAUUAACCAAAUAUAUUAUCAAAACAAGCUCAGAAACCCAAGGUUGGGGCUAAGAAGUUAGGGUUUUCAACAUAGACGAGUUGAAAAAGGAGUAAAAACAUAGAAUCAUUUGAGAUAUUCAAGGAAUAGAAGUUAAAACAUGAAGAAUCGAUUUAAACAAAGUGUAGAAGAAAUUCUGAAAAACCCUAACUUUAAAAGAAAGUAAAAAAUCUUGAAAUCGAUGAUUUUUGCAAAAUAGGAUCGAGAAAAGCACAAAACAUAGAAGGAACAUACUCAAAUUAUUUAAAAAUAGCGCAGAUCUAAGAGAUACAAACAAAAAUUAGGGUUUCAAAAGACACCCAAAUAGAGAUGGAAGAACCUGCUUAAAAUUUCAACGAUAGUAACAAAUAUAGUGUGACUUCACCCAAAAUCACAUCGAAGUAGCCAUGAACAGACAAAAUAGCAACCAUAGAUACAAGUCAGCGUAGCCCAAGGCCCUUGAAGGCCUCAGAGAGAAUGAGCAAGGAAAUGGAGGAACCAUUGUAGGCUUGGGGUUGAAGGGUGGUCACAGGAGAAGAUCGAAGAAGGGAGGCGUUUGAAAAAUAGGGGUUAGGGUUAGGCUGAGAGAAGAGAGGAGAUGAGAGCAUUUGAGGGCGGCGGGCUGCAG
This 4717-nucleotide long non-coding RNA is filed under the name Nicotiana benthamiana. RNAcentral's name for it is "long non-coding RNA (NBEN_LNC035791)". Lineage: Eukaryota; Viridiplantae; Streptophyta; Magnoliopsida; Solanales; Solanaceae. The record is from RNAcentral.